Molecule: ribosomal RNA, 1924 nt
Filed under: Oedogonium cardiacum
Lineage: Eukaryota; Viridiplantae; Chlorophyta; Chlorophyceae; Oedogoniales; Oedogoniaceae
Description: 16S ribosomal RNA
Rfam family: Bacterial small subunit ribosomal RNA
Source: RNAcentral
UCAUAAUGGAGAGUUUGAUCCUGGCUCAGAAUGAAACCUGGCGGUGUGCCUAACACAUGCAAGUCAAACGACAAUUUUUUUUGGAGUGGCGGACGGGUGAGUAACACGUAAGAACCUACCUUUAGGAGGGGGAUACCAUCCCGGGAAACUGGUGCUAAUACCCCAUAUGCUGAGAAGUGAAAAGGUAUUUAACCGCCUAGAGAGGGGCUUGCGGCUGAUUAGCUAGUUGGUGGGGUAAUGGCCUCCCAAGGCGACGAUCAGUAGCUGGUUUGAGAGGAUGAUCAGCCACACUGGGACUGAGACACGGCCCAGACUCCUACGGGAGGCAGCAGUGAGGAAUUUUCCGCAAUGGGCGAAAGCCUGACGGAGCAAUACCGCGUGGAGGAAAAAGAAGACCUGUGGGUUGACUUAUAUAAGUAAGAGGUUUACAGCCCACAGAACAAAACGUUGACGAGGACCAAAGACAAUUAUGUAACUAUUUAUUAUAAAGUCUAAGAAUCCGUCAGAGUUUUGGGAAAAAAUCCGGUGAAUUGACAAGAAAGCUAAAGAAUUUGUUCAAAUUCUAUGCUAAUUUGCAGCGAAGCUUAAUGAAACGCAUAAAAGUAAUUAAGAACGUUCAACGACUAGUUGGUGAGGAGCGUCAAACCAAUAACCCAACCACGAGCGCCGGACACUAGCUUAAGAAAAAGUUAGUGAUGACAUAGUCUGUCCUAUGAGAAAUCAUGGGGGUUUAGGAUAAAGAGCCUAAACGCUUAAUCUGGAAUCUGCAAGGUUCCUCUUGACUCCUCAUAGUGAAUCUUAACUAUUCACUCUAUUGUCAUUGUCAAGAAUUAAGAAAAAAGUGUAAACUCCUUUUCUCAGAGAAGAACACUGACGGUAUCUGAGGAAUAAGCACCGGCUAACUAUGUGCCAGCAGCCGCGGUAAUACAUGGGGUGCGAGGUUUAUUCGGAAUGAUUGGGCGUAAAGCGUUCGUAGGUGGUUUCACGAAGUCCACUGUCAAAGAUCAGGGCUUAACCUUGGGCAGGCAGUGGAAACUCGGAAACUCGAGUCAGGUGGGGGCUGAAGGAAUCAACAGCGUAACAGUGAAAUGUGUAGAUAUUGUUGAGAACACCGAUGGAGAAAUCAUUCAGCUGGGCCAUGACUGACACUGAGGGACGACAGCUAGGGGAGCAAAAAGGAUUAGAUACCCUUGUAGUCCUAGCCGUAAACGAUGGAGACUAAGUGCUGUCAAAAAACAGUGCUGUAGCUAACGCGUUAAGUCUCCCGCCUGGGGAGUAUGCUGGCAACAGUGAAACUCAAAGGAAUUGACGGGGGCCAGCACAAGAGGUGGAUUAUGUGGUUUAAUUUGAUGCUACGCGGAGAACCUUACCAGGGAUUGAACUGCCAAGAAAGGUCCAGAGAUGGGUCUGUGCCCGAAAGGGAACUUGGACAGAGGUGGUGCACGGCUGUCGUCAGCUCGUGAUGCGAAUUGUCAGGUUAAGUCCUUGAACGAGCGUAACCCUUGUUUUCAGUUGCCCGAAAGGGAACUCUGGAAAAACUGCCGAUGUAAAUCGGAGGAAGGAGAGGAUGACGUCAAGUCAGCAUGCCCCUUAUAUCCUGGGCUACACACGUAAUACAAUGGUCGAGACAGCGAGACGCUACCCCGUAAGGGCACGCUAAUCUCUAAAACUCGGCCUCAAUUCGAAUUGUGUUCUGCAACUCGAACACAUGAAGCCGGAAUCUCUAGUAAUCGCCAAUCAGCUAUGUGGCGGUGAAUACGUUCCCUGGCCUUGUACACACCGCCCGUCAAAUGGAGGGAGUGAGCUUCGCUCGAAGCCGUUCAGACUAACCCACAAGGAUGUCAACGUCUACAGCGCGGCUUGUGACUUCUAUUAAGUCGUAACAAGGUAUCCGUACUGGAAGGUGCGGAUGGAAAACCUCCUU